GCUAUUUUCACGCCACAAUGAAAGAAUGCAACAGAAAACGAAGGAGGAACAAACAAAUGAUAAGAUGAGCUCUUUUUUACGAAGCAGUAGAAAGUAUCUCAUCAAAUAGCACGCAUGCCUGGUUCCUUAAAGUAGCAGUUACAUUCCUAAACCAAAAUACUCCAAUCAUAUUAAUAGGGCGGCUUAAAAAAUAAUCUGGACAAGAUCCUGUUGGGGAAAUAUCCACCCUCGCUUCUGCUCCGAUCAGUACUUUCAUGGUAUUUAUUACACAGCCACAGGGUGGAGAUGCAUCAAUUUUUAAAUCUUUAGUCAGGAUUGGAGACUUAUGGCAGGUUCUGGGGGAAUGUUUCAUUAAGACCCCGUCUAAAGUUCCUUUGGUGACUCGUUGCUGGGUCAGCGCGCCGCGCGGCCCAGGGUCCGGAGCUCCUGCCCCUUUGUUACGCAGUGGACCCCGCCGGCAGGCCCGGCCCCACGCCCACGGGCACCUCUGGGCUUCCAGAAACAGCCCCGGAGUCCACACGGGCUCCGACCGCCGAGCCGGGGUCUGGUCACACGGGCAGGACACUACACCCACGCGGGGAUGCCCGGGGCCGGCGCCCUCCAGCACCUCCCACCCAAACACCCGCGGUGCCCCCGGCCCGGACCGGAUCAGUGCAGGCGUGUGACGUCCGCUCCACAUGACGGGGGCGGGGGGCGGGCGCCAGGGGCGGGGGCGCGGGCAGGGCCCUCCCCCCCCUCUCGGCGCUGCCCGCCCCGCCCACGGCCCGCCCCCUGGAAGCCCAGCAACCAGCGGCCACCGCCCCGCCCCCGCCCCCGGGGCGGGCAGCAGGUUUCGACUUGAAUCCGAAAGCGCCUCUUGUGCCCAUUCUUUGCAGGAGGACACUCGGAGGAGCCAGCGUCUCUAUUUAGACUGCCGUGUGCCUAUCUAGCUGCAGACUCGGGUAAAAGCGUGUCCACGUCUACGGCAUACAGCUGUGCAAAGCAGAAGCCUGCGGAUGCGCGGGGCUGGUCGGACUUAGUGUGCAGACACAUGGGCGCAUGCACGCGCGCGCGCGCACACACACUCACACCCCAAAUUACCUCCGGAAUGGAGAAAGCCGCUGCGGAUUGGCCGACAGAGCCGUCAGUCACACCCAGGGGGCAGGGAGAUUUUGCAAGGCUGUUUCCUUCCCCCCCCCUCCCCACCCCCCCGUUUCAUUUAAUGGUAAAACAACAGCAGAGCUCUGAAAGUUAGCCAUCUGCGCCGAGAGAGUUUGGCUUCUUUAACGAGGGGGAUGUCAGACAGUAUCCAUUUAGGUAUAUUUUGUACUUCCACAGUGGAUGAAAA
Molecule: long non-coding RNA, 1327 nt
Filed under: Equus caballus (horse)
Lineage: Eukaryota; Metazoa; Chordata; Mammalia; Perissodactyla; Equidae
Description: lncRNA (ENSECAG00000042499.2)
Source: RNAcentral